RNAcentral lists this ribosomal RNA (440 nucleotides) under uncultured bacterium. Its description in RNAcentral is "bacterial SSU rRNA". It matches the Rfam family "Bacterial small subunit ribosomal RNA", at positions 338 to 770 of the family's 1533-position model. The record is from RNAcentral.
CCUACGGGAGGCUGCAGUCAGGAAUAUUGGGCAAUGGGCGAAAGCCUGACCCAGCGAUGCCGCGUGUGUGAAGAAGGCCCUAGGGUUGUAAAGCACUUUCAGUCGUGAAGAAAAGCGUUGGGUUAAUACCCCAGCGUACUGACGUUAACGACAGAAGAAGUACCGGCUAACUCCGUGCCAGCAGCCGCGGUAAUACGGAGGGUACGAACGUUAAUCGGAAUUACUGGGCGUAAAGCGCGCGUAGGCGGUUUGAUAAGUGGGAUGUGAAAGCCCCGGGCUCAACCUGGGAACUGCAUUCCAAACUGUCAGACUAGAGUGUGGUAGAGGGAGGUAGAAUUUCCUGUGUAGCGGUGAAAUGCGUAGAUAUAGGAAGGAAUACCGAUGGCGAAGGCAGCCUCCUGGACCAACACUGACGCUGAGGUGCGAAAGCGUGGGGAGCA